CCAAGAGUUAAAAAUUAUUUGAUAAAAACAAAAGAAUAUCAGAAUUCUUACUAUAUAUAAUAAAAGAAAUUAUAUGGUUUCAAUUUGAUCAAACAAUUUCCUAUUUAUUACAUUUGCAAAAGAAGAAAAAUAAUUAUGGUUUCAAGUUUCAAGCUCUUUUAUGCUUUGGUUAUUUUUAUUUCUCUAUUUAUGGUUUUAACCAACAGUAGUAAGUUAUAUUCUUGUAUUAUUUUCAACUUUUUUAUAUACAUAAUGUUUACUUAUCUUUUAGUAAUUUAUUCAUUUUUUAAUAUCGCAGCUCGGUUCCCCUUAAAUCCACUUCGCUGCAUUGAAGAUGAUGAUUGUCCUUGGGAUAUGUGUCUUCACACUAAUUUAGAUCGGAUAUGUAUUAAUGAUGCUUGUUUUUGCGGAUGACUUUUAGAAAAAUAAAUCUAUAUUACUCAUUAACAACGAAUAAUGUUACUUGUAAAUGAAGUUUACAAAAUAAUAUUUAAAUAAUUUUUGGCUUCUCUAUUUUGAUAAAAGUGAAAUUAAUGGUUAAAGUUGUUAUGAAUAAUAUUCAAUUCGGAUGUGCUGGUCCAUUUUCAGGAUAAAAA
Molecule: long non-coding RNA, 596 nt
Filed under: Lathyrus oleraceus (garden pea)
Lineage: Eukaryota; Viridiplantae; Streptophyta; Magnoliopsida; Fabales; Fabaceae
Description: Pisum sativum (pea) long non-coding RNA (PSAT_LNC022265)
Source: RNAcentral